This 253-nucleotide ribosomal RNA is filed under the name uncultured bacterium. RNAcentral's name for it is "partial 16S ribosomal RNA". It matches the Rfam family "Bacterial small subunit ribosomal RNA", at positions 524 to 774 of the family's 1533-position model. The record is from RNAcentral.
UACGAAGGGGGCUAGCGUUGCUCGGAAUUACUGGGCGUAAAGCGCACGUAGGCGGUCUUUUAAGUCGGGGGUGAAAUCCUGGAGCUCAACUCCAGAACUGCCUUCGAUACUGGAAGACUCGAGUCCGGGAGAGGUGAGUGGAACUGCGAAGUGUAGAGGUGAAAUUCGUAGAUAUUCGCAAGAACACCAGUGGCGAAGGCGGCUCACUGGCCCGGUACUGACGCUGAGGUGCGAAAAGCGUGGGGAGCAAACA